This 408-nucleotide ribosomal RNA is filed under the name uncultured bacterium. RNAcentral describes it as "partial 16S ribosomal RNA". It matches the Rfam family "Bacterial small subunit ribosomal RNA", at positions 28 to 526 of the family's 1533-position model. The record is from RNAcentral.
GACGAACGCUGGCGGCGUGCCUAAUACAUGCAAGUCGAACGGAGUGGCGCACGGGUGAGUAAUAUAUAGCUAAUCUGCCCCUUGCUGGAGGACAACAGUUAGAAAUGACUGCUAAUACUCCAUAGCAAGGGAUGAGACUAUAUCGUAUCAGCUAGUCGGUGGGGUAACGGCCUACCGAGGCUAUGACGCGUAACUGGUCUGAGAGGAUGAUCAGUCACAUGGGAAAGGAGACACGGGCAAAACGCCUACGGGAGGCAGCAGUAGGGAAUAUUGCGCAAGGGGGGAAACCCUGAAGAAGCAACGCCGCGUGGAGGAUGACACUGUUCGGAGCGUAAACUCCUUUUGUUAGGGAAGCGGUAACUAACGAAUAAGCACCGGCUAACGCCGUGCCAGCAGCCGCGGUAAUAC